This 789-nucleotide ribosomal RNA is filed under the name uncultured bacterium. RNAcentral describes it as "bacterial SSU rRNA". It matches the Rfam family "Bacterial small subunit ribosomal RNA", at positions 8 to 794 of the family's 1533-position model. The record is from RNAcentral.
AGAGUUUGAUCAUGGCUCAGAUUGAACGCUGGCGGCAUGCCUUACACAUGCAAGUCGAACGGUAACAGGUCUUCGGAUGCUGACGAGUGGCGAACGGGUGAGUAAUACAUCGGAACGUGCCCGAUCGUGGGGGAUAACGAGGCGAAAGCWUUGCUAAUACCGCAUACGAUCUACGGAUGAAAGCGGGGGAUCUUCGGACCUCGCGCGGACGGAGCGGCCGAUGGCAGAUUAGGUAGUUGGUGGGAUAAAAGCUUACCAAGCCGACGAUCUGUAGCUGGUCUGAGAGGAUGAUCAGCCACACUGGGACUGAGACACGGCCCAGACUCCUACGGGAGGCAGCAGUGGGGAAUUUUGGACAAUGGGCGAAAGCCUGAUCCAGCCAUGCCGCGUGCAGGAUGAAGGCCUUCGGGUUGUAAACUGCUUUUGUACGGAACGAAAAGCCUCUUUCUAAUAAAGAGGGGUCAUGACGGUACCGUAAGAAUAAGCACCGGCUAACUACGUGCCAGCAGCCGCGGUAAUACGYAGGGUGCAAGCGUUAAUCGGAAUUACUGGGCGUAAAGCGUGCGCAGGCGGUUUUGUAAGACAGAGGUGAAAUCCCCGGGCUCAACCUGGGAACUGCCUUUGUGACUGCAAGGCUGGAGUGCGGCAGAGGGGGAUGGAAUUCCGCGUGUAGCAGUGAAAUGCGUAGAUAUGCGGAGGAACACCGAUGGCGAAGGCAAUCCCCUGGGCCUGCACUGACGCUCAUGCACGAAAGCGUGGGGAGCAAACAGGAUUAGAUACCCYGGUAGU